Molecule: ribosomal RNA, 478 nt
Filed under: uncultured bacterium
Lineage: Bacteria
Description: partial 16S ribosomal RNA
Rfam family: Bacterial small subunit ribosomal RNA
Source: RNAcentral
GAUGAACGCUGGCGGCGUGCUUAACACAUGCAAGUCGAACGGGAAACCUUUUAUUGAAGCUUCGGCAGAUUUAGCUGGUUUCUAGUGGCGGACGGGUGAGUAACGCGUGGGUAACCUGCCUUAUACAGGGGGAUAACAACCAGAAAUGGUUGCUAAUACCGCAUAAGCGCACAGGACCGCAUGGUCCGGUGUGAAACACUCCGGUGGUAUAAGAUGGACCCGCGUUGGAUUAGCUAGUUGGCAGGGUAACGGCCUACCAAGGCGACGAUCCAUAGCCGGCCUGAGAGGGUGAACGGCCACAUUGGGACUGAGACACGGCCCAGACUCCUACGGGAGGCAGCAGUGGGGAAUAUUGCACAAUGGGGGAAACCCUGAUGCAGCGACGCCGCGUGAAGGAAGAAGUAUCUCGGUAUGUAAACUUCUAUCAGCAGGGAAGAUAGUGACGGUACCUGACUAAGAAGCCCCGGCUAACUACGUG